UUGCAUUUCAAGUGCUCAUCUAUGUUCUAGGGAUGAUCACAGUCACUGGCGUGGUCAAUGUUUCUAUCCUUUCCAAUGGACAGAGCUAGCGGACAGGUUUGAAAAUCCCGAGAGGGGCUAAGAAUUACUUUCUGUGAAUGCUCCAUAAUCCCCAAAACCCUUUAGCACUGCUGACCUCAAAAGUUUCCCAGAAUUGUUCUCUACAGGAAAGGGUGUCAGCUUUGACAUCUGAGACAAACUCUGGUCUUAGUGGCGGUGUUCUACCGACCUAAAUUCUUCUAUUGCAGCUUUGCUCAAAAAUAGCACUCCUUCACUCCCUGUUCUCAAUUGCCACAUGGUUGCCACACAGGGGCUCAUGAGGAGGCUGUGUCCCCUCCUCAGGGGUGAAGUCAUGCCUAUAGAAAGCUUGAGUGUCCCCAGAGUCUCUUUGUUACCUGUCAUAUGCUACCAAAUAUUACCUCCGCUGGCCCACAGUACCCUGCCCAUUCCUGUCCUGUCACACUGUUCCCAUUGCCCUUGGAUGCUUUCCCAGCUGUCCAGCGCUCACAUCCUUCAAGACCCAUGUCGGGUCUCACGAAGACUUCUCGGACUCCUUAAGCCUCCAUGUACCUCAGCUUUCACAUCUGUGAAAUGGAGAGAAUUGUACCCAUCUCACCAAGUUGUGAAGUUUAAAUGUUACCACCUGGAAUAAGGCUUAGCACAGUGAGUCCUCAAGAAAUUUGAGUUUUUAUUCCUAUUCUAGCCAAUAGUUCUCAACCCAGCUGCAUAUUAGAAACAUCUAAGGGGGCUUUUAAAAGAAAAUAGUGAUGCUUUGUUGCCGCCCUUGGAGAUUCCGACUUAAUUGGUCAGGGCAAGUGGAAUCUUUCACGUUCUUGAGGUGAUUCUGGAGCAGGGCUGGCAAAUGACACUGUCGAACUGCCACCUCCAUUAUUACCUUUUGGGUGUGUGAGGUGAGAUACUCCUGUGUCAUUUUAACAAAUGUUUGCUCACUCUACAUCAAGGUGGAUUCUGGUGCUUAAAACCAAAGGAGGCCUAAUGAGUGCAGGAGUAAUUUGUAAGGAUAAUUAGCGCAUAGAGUUCGAUCUUUGGCAACGCUGGAGCUGAAGGGGCUUCCCCACUGCCACCCCGUGUCGUCCCUCAGAGGCCACGCGCACUGUGGUGAUUGGGUACACUGUUUAAUGCUGUCCCCAGCUACUGCUUGAUUUAGGAAUAUAUUAGGAAUAUAUUCCUGAGUAGUGGAAUAAGGAAACAUCCUUUCCUUAUCAUGUUAGCUCAACAACUUAGAGGAAAAAAAAUCAUGAAAAUUUUGUUUUUCCUCCUUUUUGCCCCCCUGCCUUUGAAACCAGCCACUGCAGCUGCUAACACAAAUAUCUCUGUGUAGAAUGUGUUUUGUCCUUCUGGAGAAGACAAAGAAUUACUAAAAGAGCAGACAGCUGCUUGUCCUGGCAGGAGGAGAAGAGCUUGUCAGCACUCACUCUCUGCUCUUCCUCAGCCCAAUCACCAUCGUCUUCUUUUAGCCCAUUUUUGCUCUCACUUUUCCUGGUCCAGGAAUGUAGGGCCAUCACUCUACCCUUGUGCCUCUAACUCUGGGUAGACACAACAGCCCAGUCCUUCUUUUUCCAUGUUAAACCUGCGUUGUCUCAACUUUAAGACUUUAAGCAAGGCUGGCAGGCAAUAAACUUCACCUUGACUCGGAAACCGCCCCUCCAUCUCUCUCUCUUUCACAAACACACAGCUCACCCAUUGUUCCAACAGGGAUGUUUGCACAACAAUUUCGCACAACAGGGAUAAUGACAGAGUCUACCUCAUGGGUUGUCGUGACGAUUAAAUGAGACAGGGCCUCAAACUUGGCUGCACAUUAGAAUCGCUGGAAGCGUUUCAAAAAAUCCCAGUGCCAGGCAGCACCCAGAUCCAUUAAAUCAGAAUUUCUGGUUGUGGGAGCCAUCCAUCAAUAUUUUUAGAAUCUCCCUAGGUAAUUCCAGUGUGCGGCCAAAUUUGAGAGCCAGUGAGAUAGUACUUGUUAUAAGCACUCAAUGAAUGAGAGCUGCUUUCAUUAUUAUAAUUAAAAAUUGAGUGAGAAUCCCUCAAAUUUAAUAGACUGCUGAAAUUGAAGGCGUAAUAGGACCCAGAUUCCUUUCUUCUUUAAUUCAUCCAUCCAACAAUGACAGAGCAUUUACUAAGUGCUGGGAUCUGUGCAAAAUUCCUCCUCCCUGUUUGAAAGUCAAAAGAUCAUAUUGCCUUCAAGAGGGAAUUCAAGUUCUUUAGGACAAUUUGUCCUCUCUCAUCCCCUUCAUGCCCUGUUAUCUGCCAGUGCCAUCACCCACAUGCUGGUUAAGCUUCAGCCACUCCAAACUAUUUGUAAUGGUUCCAAGCCCUCCUGUGUCUCUGUGCCCUUCUCCACGCUCUUCCCUCUGCUUUUCCACCUGGCUACCUUAUAGAUGGAAUUCCUGAUAUGGAACCUGAAAAGCAGAUGGGCGCCCAGCACCCCCUGGCAGUCUCCACGCGUGCCCUCUGAUCAAGGAGCUGGCCGGUAUCCCCUCAGUCUCAGGACUCCUUGAGAGCCCUGCAGUAGGGGAGUUCUCAAGGCCUUCUCUCUGCAGAAAGGCUUGACAACUCUCUCUCCCCUCUCCUUCAGGCCUCACUCUGGCAGAAGACUGCUCAGGCCCAGGCAGGAUCUCUGUCCUUUGUCUUGCUUAACUGGCUUUGUUGUUCCAAGACUCCACGAAGUUGCUCCCCAGGGUCCCUCUCAGAGAGAAAACUCUUCCUGUUGACUCAUCCAAGGGAGCAGGGCAACUCAGAGCCCACUACUCAGAAUGGCCUGAAAUUUGGAGCCUGGAUCUUCUGUGGCCACUCCAUGAAAUCCCAUGAGGCUGGCAGCCUUGGGGGAGUAAUGUGACUUCAUGACCGUAAAUAAUCCCUUGCUGUUGCAGGCAGACUGUUUAGCUACCUCCAAAGGAGACAGACCCUCUGGCGCUUCUGCACCACAGGCACCGUCAUAACAGCUCAAGGAAGAACGAUGUUUAUUCCCAUGGUACGCUGAACAGUGAAGAACUUAAAGGAUAAUCAUUGCCCAGUCACAUUAAUUUGUUCAUUUCUUCAUUCACUUCUUCCACAUUUAUUCACUGAGUAUCACAUUGUACCAAACCCCAUGCUGGGUGUUGGAGAUAUAAAGAUAAAUAAAACCCCAAAACAACCUCUCCUUGUAUCAGUUAGCUCUGGCUACAUAACAAACAUCCCCAAACAUCAUGGCUUAAAACAAAAACUAUGUAUUUAGUUUACAAUACUCUAGGUCAACAAUUUGGGCUGGGUUCUGCGGGCUAGUUCUACUGUCCUUGGCUGAGCUUACUCAGGGUUGAUGGCCAGCUGCUGGAUUGGUUCGGGCUGGCUGGUCUAGGGGGUUCUCAGCUGGGAUGGCUCAUCUCUGCUCCACACACUCUCAUCCUCCAGCGGGCUAGCCUGGACUUGUUCAUGUGGCGGCUAGGCAAUUCCAUGGGCACGAGCAGAAGCCUGCCAGGCCUCUUGAAGGUGAGGCUCUGGGUUGACAUAAUGUCCCUUUAGCCAUUACAUUGGUCAAAUCAAGUCACAAGCCCAGGCCAGUUCCAAGGAGGGGUGAAGACCUCUGACUGUCAUUGCUAAGGGACUUGGAAACAGGCAGGAAAUAAGGGCUAAUUUUUGCUAAUAGUCUAGCUCACUGCCGUUUAGGAGCUUACAGUCUGGUCAGAGAGACAGAAAAUUGUGAUAAGUGCUAUUAAGAAGCUGUC
This 3761-nucleotide long non-coding RNA is filed under the name Equus caballus (horse). Its description in RNAcentral is "lncRNA (ENSECAG00000056089.1)". Lineage: Eukaryota; Metazoa; Chordata; Mammalia; Perissodactyla; Equidae. The record is from RNAcentral.